This 440-nucleotide ribosomal RNA is filed under the name uncultured bacterium. Its description in RNAcentral is "partial 16S ribosomal RNA". It matches the Rfam family "Bacterial small subunit ribosomal RNA", at positions 338 to 795 of the family's 1533-position model. The record is from RNAcentral.
CCUACGGGGGGCAGCAGUGGGGAAUAUUGCACAAUGGGGGAAACCCUGAUGCAGCGACGCCGCGUGAGUGAAGAAGGAUUUCGGUAUGUAAAGCUCUAUUAGCAGGGAAGAAAAUGACGGUACCUGAUUAAGAAGCCCCGGCUAACUACGUCCCAGCAGCCGCGGUAAUACGUAGGGGGCAGGCGUUAUCCGGAUUUACUGGGGGUAAAGGGAGCGUAGGCGGCAGCGCAAGUCUGAAGUGAAAUGCCGGGGCUUAACCCCGGAACUGCUUUGGAAACUGUGCAGCUAGAGUGCAGGAGAGGGAAGUGGAAUUCCUGGUGUAGCAGUGAAAUGCGUAGAUAUUAGGAGGAACACCAGUGGCGAAGGCGGGUUACUGGACUGUAACUGACGUUGAGGCACGAAGGCGUGGGGAGCGAACAGGAUUAGAUACCCUAGUAGUC